This 453-nucleotide ribosomal RNA is filed under the name Mychonastes sp. 6A3. Its description in RNAcentral is "SSU rRNA". It matches the Rfam family "Eukaryotic small subunit ribosomal RNA", at positions 1343 to 1821 of the family's 1831-position model. Lineage: Eukaryota; Viridiplantae; Chlorophyta; Chlorophyceae; Sphaeropleales; Mychonastaceae. The record is from RNAcentral.
UCAGCCUGCUAAAUAGUCACUGUCGCUCCGGCGGCUGGCCGACUUCUUAGAGGGACUAUUGGCGUUUAGCCAAUGGAAGUAUGAGGCAAUAACAGGUCUGUGAUGCCCUUAGAUGUUCUGGGCCGCACGCGCGCUACACUGACGCGUUCAACAAGCCUAUCCUUGACCGAGAGGUCCGGGUAAUCUUUGAAAACGCGUCGUGAUGGGGAUAGAUCAUUGCAAUUAUUGGUCUUCAACGAGGAAUGCCUAGUAAGCGCGAGUCAUCAGCUCGCGUUGAUUACGUCCCUGCCCUUUGUACACACCGCCCGUCGCUCCUACCGAUUGGGUGUGCUGGUGAAGUGUUCGGAUUGGCGAGAGGCGGUGGCAACACUGCUUCCUGCCGAGAAGUUCAUUAAACCCUCCCACCUAGAGGAAGGAGAAGUCGUAACAAGGUUUCCGUAGUGAACCUGCAGA